Molecule: long non-coding RNA, 657 nt
Filed under: Volvox carteri
Lineage: Eukaryota; Viridiplantae; Chlorophyta; Chlorophyceae; Chlamydomonadales; Volvocaceae
Description: long non-coding RNA (VCAR_LNC003006)
Source: RNAcentral
CUGGACAUUAGAGCACCGAGACAGCCGGAAAAGACAGGGAGCUCCAAACACAAUAAACGCCCCUACAACAGCAACCGCAAAAACGGAAGGAAAAACGCACUAAAGAACCCGACUCGAACCCUAAAGCCACCGAUCGCGCUCAGGCCCACACCCCUGGAGCCGCGGCCGCGCUUGUUUUAAGGAGCCUGACGGUUGAGCAAAUGAAGGUGUGGGAAGGUGUGGGGCAAAAUUAGCACAUGGUCAGGCUGAAAGCUCCACUGAGUUAAGGCAGACUAACUUUACCUGGAGAGCAGAUGCUAAUGGAAGGGAUCGCCACUGCGAUCCAGAUCGGUCGUACGACAGUCGCACAGAACCAACCUUCGAGGCUCCUGUCGCUACGCUCCGUCGCAUCUAAGCCAACCAAUGUUUGUCGAAGUUCACAAAGAGGUAACGUUAACUCGAAGAAUUCACGUUUGCAGCCUGUGAACAGGAUAUCGGUUUAGGGAAGGCGAUUGCCACCCAGGCGCUUGCGGGGUAUGGCAUCUAUAUAGGGCUAAUCGCAGCAUGAUGUGGCACGGCGCUUCGACUGGGCUCGCAGGGCAAGAUUGCUUUCGGGUUCACUCAGAACUGCCGCACCCUUUCGACAUUUGACGGACUUCGGGUAAGGGCAUCCUCGCU